This 5936-nucleotide long non-coding RNA is filed under the name Homo sapiens (human). RNAcentral's name for it is "non-protein coding lnc-RAB23-53:12". Lineage: Eukaryota; Metazoa; Chordata; Mammalia; Primates; Hominidae. The record is from RNAcentral.
GCAGUUGUUUGGGCUGUCGCUGUGGCUGGUUCUGCGGUGUGCGGCCAGCCAUGGAGCGCUCUGGGCCCAGCGAAGUGACAGGCUCAGACGCAUCGGGACCGGACCCGCAGCUUGUGGUCACCAUGGGCUUCACGGGGUUCGGGGUUCGGUAAAAAAGCUCACACAUUUGACUUGGAAGCAAUGUUUGAACAAACUCAAAGAACAGCUGUGGAAAGAAGUCACAAAACACUGGUUCAACCCAAUGGAAAUGGAUUGAAAGAGUGAAAGUCACUGGUCUCAAAGAAUCUACGGAAUUUAGCAUUUUGAAAAUCACAGAGCAAUUUUGGGUAGGUAUUCACAUGCACUAAAAAACCAGGCAAACAUCUGACUCCCAGGAUAAAGUGACUGAGAGCAGUAGAAGACUUGUUGAGCCUUAAGGAAUAAGAGGAAAAUUAUGUUAUGAAGUGCAGGAACAGCACAGACCCAGACGAGGGGAUGCAGCCCGGAGCCAGUAACCCGGCGCCUCCUCCUCCCCAGGGCGCAGCGCUGGCUGCUCCCCGGAUACCGUGAUCACACGUCCCAGGUCCUGAGAGCGCCUCAUAGGUAGACAGUUCUUUGGGACUUUUGGGACGCAGCACUUGAAGAGAGGUUUACCUAAACUUUCCUCCUGGGAGCCUGUCAUCAUUUGAAAGUAACAGAAGAAAGCUGUCAGGCUGAGGAAAGUUUCAACAGGCACUUGGUGAGAAUGGGAAGCAUCCAUUCAUUGGGAAAUCACGGGGACAGAGGAGGAAUUCACGGGAUCAGAGCACUGAGAAACUCCAGAGGCUUCUGGUUCACCGCCCUGAUUCCACAGAUGUGGGUCAGAGGCAGAGAUGGAAGUUGGAAUGGACAAGCCUGCCCUCUCCUCAGCUCUCCAUGGCUCUGUCCUCAGGCUGUUUCUGCAAUUUGACAUGAGGCCUGGCCCCAGGGAAACCAGUGGGGCCUCAUCUCCUCCCUGUGCUGCUCUGAGGUGGAGCCUUCUCAGGGUCAGUCCAGCUCUGGAGCCCCUCUCCAGCUCGGUCACCAAAGCUGUCUGGUCCCAGGGCAGUGUGGAGUGACAGGCACGCCAGCCAAUCCAAUCGGCCAUUUCAUACCCAAUGCAUGUGACUGAUAAAGAGAUAACACCCUGUCUCCAAGACACAGGCUUUACAUAAACAGCUUUAAUGACUUCUUCACUUAGGGACAAGACUCCUUAGUGGUGGAACCUCAGGCAUCCAUGCAGGAUGUAAGAAAGCUCCCGUAUAUACAUGAACUGAGAAGUGUGUAGAAGAGUAAAUACUGUAAUAGGUAAUAAAAUGUAUGUAUUUUUAUUUAUGUGCUACUUUGUCUUUCUCCCUCUCUGUGUAUAUACACAUACAUACAAAAAUGUAUUCAUUCUAUGGAAAACAUGAAAGAUGUAAUAUUCUUUACAUAUUUAAUUAAUGUAUUUUUUCUGAUCAUAUGAACACCACAAAUAUAAUUUUAUAAUUUUUUUACCUAACAAUAAGUCUUAAACAUAAAUAUACAUGGACAAUAUCAUAGUUUUUUUUUUAAUCAUAAUUAAAAUGGUUGUGAAACAUUCCACUUUAAUUCAUUCCUCCUAAUCCCUAGGGUGGUACAUUAAGUGAGGGUUUCUCAGCCUCGGUACCAUGGGCAGUUUGGGUUAGCCCAUCCUUUUCAGAGACACUGCCCUGGACACUGCAGGAUGUGGCUUCACAUUCUGGUCUCUGCCCACUGGAUGCCAGAAACAUCCCUUCCCCUUAGCUGUGGUAAUCAACACUGUCACUAGACAUUGCCAAAUGUCCCCUGGAGGACAAAAUCACCCUAGGUUGAGAACCAGUGGCAUUUUUUUUAAACUAUCAUUGUAAGACAAAGCCACCUGAACUUCCUUGCUGAUGUCUCUUCACUUCUUUUUUUUUUUUUUUUUUGAGACAGAGUCUUGCUCUGUUGCCCAGGCUGGAGUGCAGUGGCAUGAUCUCGGCUCACUGCAAGCUCCGCCUCCCAGGUUCACACCAUUCUCCUGCCUCAGCCUCCUGAGUAGCUGGGAUUACAGGCGCCCGCCACCACACCUGGCUAAUUUUUUUGUGUUUUUAGUAGAGACGGGGUUUCACCAUGUUAGCCAGGAUAGGCUCGAUCUCCUGACCUCAUGAUCCGCCCACCUUGGCCUCCCAAAGUGCUGGGAUUACAGGCAUGAGCCACCACGCCUGGCCUCAACUUCUAUCUAAUUCUAUUCAGAGGGAAAAUUUCUAGAAGCGACAUUCCUGUUGCAGAGAAGAGAUAUUCACUUGAGAACCUUGAUAUAUAUUUGCCAAAUUUCUGUCCAAGUAUCAUUUUUAAAAAGUUAAAAACAUGACUUUCAUAGAAACACAUACGGAGCAUAUGUCAAAGAUGUAUUUCUCUAAUGCAAUGAGACAGCCAGCAAGACAGUGAGGCUGCAGCAGCAUGGGGACAGAGUGCAGAAAGAGGUCGCAGAAGCCUUGGAAGAACGUCAUUCAGUCAUACAAGGACACCCUGAUGCUUGCGCUGCGGUCCUUUCCAAGUCCACGGGGCGUUGUUCCUUUGUGUCAACACCAGAUAAGACUCAUGGGGAUUGCUGUCAGUGUUGUGUAUGUUAUAAUACCAGGGACCCUCACAUGGCUGUGUUAGAUUCUAACCAAUAGAAAAUAAUAAGUCAAAGCAAAGACCGUUACUGAUUCCUUCCAUUGUUUCUUUAGAGACUUUGGUUUAGUGCUCUAAACUUUCUGAUUAUCAGAUCUUAUGUGUUUGCUAAUAUAUAAAAUAACAAAUUAGGCAUAAUGCCCUAUAAUUUUCUGCUUGAUUAAUUGCCUGAAAUUUGAUCUAUCAGUCAGUGUUUGAUUAGAAUAGAGAAAUCACAUGUAAUUUGAACAAGGAAAGAUUAAUACGAAGAAUUGCUAGCUAUAACAGGGUUUGGAGCAAUGAGGAUUGGCUAGUAAAAAGUAAAGAGAACUCUAAGGAAUAUAAGAAUAACAGAUAAAAGGAGCGUCAACCCCUGGGGUUGAGAUACAACAUCCAGGGCCUCUGGGAUUCAGAUCCAGACCCUGUUUGAGGGGGCAUGGCUGUGGCUCACUGAAUGAAGAGAAGUUGCUGUGGUAGAAAUCUGUCUCAUCAGAAUCACUCUGCUGUAAUACUGCCUUGUGGAGGUACUGGUGGAAGAUACUCGGUGCUGCUGACUGCUAUGCACUUCAGGAGCCUGACAAUGGAGCAAACUGCACGGGUUCUGGAUCUGGACACUGGAGAAGCUGUGUUGCAGUACAGAAGCCUGCCAAGAGGAGCACACAAGACUCUUGGAAAGAAGAGGAAAAUCUCCUCUUACAAUGUCGAUCUAAGAUCAUGCCAACUAGCAAAGGAAAAAUGUUUAAAGGGUCCAAGUUCAUUUCUGCAGAGCAGACAUGAAAGGUUGAAUUCAGAGCUGAGAGACAAUAAGUGGACAACUGGCACAUUUGGUCAAACUUGUAAUUUUAUAUCUUAGAUGGACAAAUUAAACACAAGUCCAUAGGUGUUUUCCUUACAAGCUUACAUUUAAAUUUGGGAUCCUGGUCAGAAUUUUGCUAAGGACUUCAUUCUUUCCCAGUGUUUCAGGAAGGAUACCCUGGGGCCAGAGCCACUUUUCUUUAUUGUAAGGUCCUGGGCUGUGGCCCCUUUUGCUUUUCUGGGCUCCUUUCUCAUGGGCAUCUGUUUUGGGAGCUUCAUUUCCUCAUCUGCUUUGACACUUUAAUCUUGGACAUUGUAGUGAAAUGCUUCACAUUGUCACACAUUCUAAUCUCAGAGACCACUCCAAAUCUUUUUGAAUUUUCUUGGCCAUUGGAAUUAGUACUCUGGAAUCAGUACAUUAAGAAUGGUUUUUUAAAAACUAUCAGCUAGAAUUUCCACAUUUUAGAAGAAAUGGUCAGUAUAAAUUUGGAGAAGCAGUUUCUAGCUAGUAGUAGCUGUGCAGAAAAACAGUUUUAUUGAUAAGUAUCUGAUUUGGAUUUAGGAUCCAGCUAGGAUGAAAAAUUCAAUUGAGGUCUGGCCAGAUAGACAUAAAUUUUAUUUUUCCUUUAUAUUCUGUGUCCAAAAGACAAAUUGUCAUGAGUUAUUAUUUUUUUCCUGAAGUAUCCGUUUGUUUCUCAGCUUUGGAAUUAGAGGUGUAGAAAAUAAACGGGACUCAACAGCCUAAGAUUUUGUUUAAAAAGAUGUUCUUAUUUAUUUAUAUUUAAAAAUUUCUAAACUUUUUUUUUGCAAGAAACUGUAUGUCAGCAUUUUCAUUUUUGAUAGAUAAAUUUUAUAUUUGGGAUUUUGAUUAUUAAGUUGUUUCUCCACCAGAAUUCCUUAUGGAUUUUUGUAAUAAUCUGUAUUUAGUGUGUUUAAUUAUUUGCUUUCCAUUUAUAUUUAUUUUGGGAUUUCUUUUUUAAGAGAAUGGCACCUGUGACAGCAUACUGUUAAUAUUACCCUUGUAUCGUACUUUACCAUGCCAUCUCUGAAGAAUAUUACAGACCAUUUUGGAGCAUGGUGAAUAACAAAUUUUUACCUUAGGAGUUCACUUGAAUAGUCAUUUUUAUAUUUGUGACUGCAAGUCACUUUUAGGGGCUGUACUUCCUUAGUACUGGUAGCAUUAUUAUCCAAUGGACUUUUAAAGCUUUCAUUAGGUUUUCUUUUGUUUUUGUUCUUUAAAGAACAUUUUACUUAACUUAGUAUUUCAUUUUUCAUCUAUAUUAUGAGGCAGUAAGAGUCUUCUGUUUUUCCAAAGUUGAGACUGCUUUAUAUUUAUUUCAUAUUGUCUACAGCUGUAGUGUUCAAUACAUUAGCCACUAGCCACAUGUGGUUAUUUAAAUACGAUAAAAUAAAAACUGGCCGGUCGUGGUGGCUCACGCCUGUAAUCCCAGCACUUUGGGAGGCCGAGGCGGGCAGAUCAUGAGGUCAGGAGAUCGAGACCAUCCUUACUAAGAUGGUGAAACCCCAUCUCUAUUAAAAAUACAAAAAAUUAGCCGGGCGUGGUGGCGGGCGCCUGCAGUCCCAGCUACUCAGGAGGCUGAGGCAGGAGAAUGGCGUGAACCUGGGAGGCAGAGUUUGCAGUGAGCCGAGAUGGUGCCACUGCACUCCAGCCUGGGGGACAGAGCGAGACUCCAUCUCAAAAAAAAAAAAAAAAAAUUAUUAAGUUCUUUAGUUGCACUAGCCAUAUUUCAAAUACUUGAUGGAUACAUGUGGCUAGUGGCUAACAUAAUGGAUAGCACAGAUAUAAAACAUUUCCUCCUCAUAUAAAGUUCUAUUGGAUAGUGCUGGUCUGUAGCUUAUAGGAUGGUAUCUUAGUCUCCUUCAGCUGCUAAAACAGAAUACCAUAAAUUAGGUAGCUUAAACAGUAGGUAUUUUGACCAGGCGUGGUGGCUUAUGCCUGUAUUCCUAACACUUUGGGAGGCCGAGGCAGGUGGAUAACUUGAGCUCAGGAGUUUGAGACUAGCCUGGGCAGCAUUUCAAAACCUUGUCUCUACAAAAAUUAGCUGGGCAUGGUGGUGCACGCCUGUAGUCUGAGCUACUUGGGAGGCUGAGGUGGGAGAAUUGCUUGAACCUGGGAGGCGGAGGUUGCAGUGAGCCAUGAUCGCACCCCUGUACUCCAGCCUGGAUGACAGAAUGAGACUCUGUCUCAAAAAAAAAAAAAAAAACAAAAAACAAAAAAAAACAAGAGAUAUUUCUCACAGUUCUGGAGGCUGGAAGUGCAAGAUCAAAGUGUUGGCAAAUUACGUUUCUUAAAGAGGGUCUGCUUCCUAGAUUGGAAAUGGCCAUCUUCUCUCAGUAUCCUCACAUGGUAGGGAGAAAAGCAGCUCUAGUGUCUCUUCUUAUAAAGGAAGUAAUGCCACCAUAGGGGCUCUAUUCUCAUGACCUCAUCUAAACCUAAUUCUCUCCUAAAGGCCACGCCUCCCAAUAUCCUCACCUUGGGGGUUAGG